GAGACUCUGUGCGCGUGCAUAUCAAUAAGCGGAGGAAAAGGAAACUAACAAGGAUUCCCUUAGUAACGGCGAGUGAAGCGGGAAGAGCUCAAAUUUGAAAUCUUCAAGGUUCUACCUUGACGAAUUGUAGUUUAAAGAAGUGUUUUCUGUUAGAUGAGUAGCAAAAGUUCCUUGGAAUGGGACAUCAUAGAGGGUGAGAAUCCCGUAUUUGGUUAUUCAUUCUAGCUUUGUGAUACACUUUCAAAGAGUCGGAUUGUUUGGGAAUGCAGUCCAAAAUGGGUGGUAAAUUUCAUCUAAAGCUAAAUAUUGGCGAGAGACCGAUAGCGAACAAGUACCGUGAGGGAAAGAUGAAAAGAACUUUGAAAAGAGAGUUAAACAGUACGUGAAAUUGUCAAAAGGGAAGCGUUUGACACCAGUGUUGUUUUUCCGAAAAUCAAUUACGAAUGGCUUGAUUUUGUGUUGUAUUGACCUUAUCAGCUUUCUUCACUUUUUUCGAGUCUUUCUUAAUGCACUUUUCGGUUAACAAGUCAACAUCAAUUUCUUUUGUUGUAAAAGAGUAUUCGGAAGGUGGCUUUCUUUUCGGAGAAAGUGUUUAUAGCCCUAUACUUCUACAAUCGGAGAGAUUGAGGUCUGCAGCGUAGAUCCUUCGGGGUUAGAUACAUUUGUGCUAAGUUGUAGCUUUUCAUAGACAACUUGUUGACUAUGUUUAGUCAUGCGGCUUACUCGCUUGUGCUAUUUUACCUACGCUUAGGAUGUUGACUGAUAUGUAGUCGU
This 774-nucleotide ribosomal RNA is filed under the name uncultured Neocallimastigales. RNAcentral describes it as "partial large subunit ribosomal RNA". It matches the Rfam family "Eukaryotic large subunit ribosomal RNA", at positions 23 to 643 of the family's 3401-position model. The record is from RNAcentral. Lineage: Eukaryota; Fungi; Neocallimastigomycota; Neocallimastigomycetes; Neocallimastigales.